UACGAAGGGGGCUAGCGUUGUUCGGAAUUACUGGGCGUAAAGCGCACGUAGGCGGAUCGAUUAGUCAGGGGUGAAAGCCCAGAGCUCAACUCUGGAACUGCCUUUGAUACUGUCGAUCUGGAGCAGAGUAGAGGUGAGUGGAAUUCCGAGUGUAGAGGUGAAAUUCGUAGAUAUGCGGAGGAACACCAGUGGCGAAGGCGGCUCACUGGACUCUUGCUGACGCUGAGGUGCGAAAGCGUGGGGAGCAAACAGG
This 253-nucleotide ribosomal RNA is filed under the name uncultured bacterium. RNAcentral describes it as "partial 16S ribosomal RNA". It matches the Rfam family "Bacterial small subunit ribosomal RNA", at positions 524 to 776 of the family's 1533-position model. The record is from RNAcentral.